CACGUAGGGCGCAAGCGUUGUCCGGAAUUAUUGGGCGUAAAGGGCGCGUAGGCGGGAUGGCAAGUCGGUCGUGAAAUCCUUCGGCUCAACCGAAGAACGUCGAUCGAUACUGCUGUUCUUGAGGGUUGCAGAGGAGACUGGAAUUCCCGGUGUAGCGGUGAAAUGUGUAGAGAUCGGGAGGAACACCGGUGGCGAAGGCGGGUCUCUGGGCAAUUCCUGACGCUGAGGCGCGAAAGCGUGGGGAGCAAACGGG
Molecule: ribosomal RNA, 253 nt
Filed under: uncultured bacterium
Lineage: Bacteria
Description: partial 16S ribosomal RNA
Rfam family: Bacterial small subunit ribosomal RNA
Source: RNAcentral